CGAGCCGGGCGGACGGCCGCGUCGGGACUCAUGGGUCCCGCCGAGGAACGUCCGGGCUCCACAGAGCAGGGUGGUGGGUAACGCCCACCCGGGGUGACCCGCGGGACAGUGCCACAGAAAACAGACCGCCGGGGACCUCGGUCCUCGGUAAGGGUGAAACGGUGGUGUAAGAGACCACCAGCGCCUGAGGUGACUCAGGCGGCUCGGUAAACCCCACCCGGAGCAAGGUCAAGAGGAGCCGCUUCGCGGCGGCUCUGCGCGGAUGUUCGAGGGCUGCUCGCCCGAGUCCGCGGGUAGACCGCACGAGGCCGGUGGCAACACCGGUCCUAGAUGGAUGGCCGUCUCUCGACGGGCCGCGAGGCCCGCCGAUGACAGAACCCGGCGUACAGCCCGACUCGUCUG
Molecule: RNase P RNA, 402 nt
Filed under: Streptomyces sp. LX-29
Lineage: Bacteria; Bacillati; Actinomycetota; Actinomycetes; Kitasatosporales; Streptomycetaceae
Description: RNase P RNA component class A
Rfam family: Bacterial RNase P class A
About the family: Ribonuclease P (RNase P) is a ubiquitous endoribonuclease, found in archaea, bacteria and eukarya as well as chloroplasts and mitochondria. Its best characterised activity is the generation of mature 5'-ends of tRNAs by cleaving the 5'-leader elements of precursor-tRNAs. Cellular RNase Ps are ribonucleoproteins.
Source: RNAcentral